This 89-nucleotide transfer RNA is filed under the name Mucisphaera calidilacus. RNAcentral describes it as "Planctomycetes bacterium Pan265 tRNA-Ser". The record is from RNAcentral. Lineage: Bacteria; Pseudomonadati; Planctomycetota; Phycisphaerae; Phycisphaerales; Phycisphaeraceae.
GAGGCACUGGGCUACUGGCAGGCGCAGCCGCUGCUGCUGGUCGAGCUGCGUCGUGGGGCGAAGGAGACGAUCGAUCCGCCGGUGCGUCA